Molecule: ribosomal RNA, 492 nt
Filed under: uncultured bacterium
Lineage: Bacteria
Description: partial 16S ribosomal RNA
Rfam family: Bacterial small subunit ribosomal RNA
Source: RNAcentral
AGUGAACGCUGGCGGUAGGCCUAACACAUGCAAGUCGAACGGCAGCACAGUAAGAGCUUGCUCUUACGGGUGGCGAGUGGCGGACGGGUGAGGAAUACAUCGGAAUCUACUUUUUCGUGGGGGAUAACGUAGGGAAACUUACGCUAAUACCGCAUACGACCUACGGGUGAAAGCAGGGGAUCUUCGGACCUUGCGCGAUUGAAUGAGCCGUGGCCGGGUUAGCUAGUUGGGUGGGUAAAGGCCCACCAAGGCGACGCUCCGUAGCUGGUCUGAGAGGAUGGUCGGCCACACUGGAACUGAGACACGGUCCAGACUCCUACGGGAGGCAGCAGUGGGGAAUAUUGGACAAUGGGCGCAAGCCUGAUCCAGCCAUACCGCGUGGGUGAAGAAGGCCUUCGGGUUGUAAAGCCCUUUUGUUGGGAAAGAAAAGCAGCAGGUUAAUACCCCGCUGUUCUGACGGUACCCAAAGAAUAAGCACCGGCUAACUUCGUG